This 1402-nucleotide ribosomal RNA is filed under the name Campylobacter coli. Its description in RNAcentral is "partial 23S ribosomal RNA". It matches the Rfam family "Bacterial large subunit ribosomal RNA", at positions 332 to 1599 of the family's 2925-position model. The record is from RNAcentral. Lineage: Bacteria; Pseudomonadati; Campylobacterota; Epsilonproteobacteria; Campylobacterales; Campylobacteraceae.
GCAGAACAUUCUGGAAAGUAUAGCCAUAGAGGGUGAUAGUCCCGUAUGCGAAAAACAAACCUUAGCUAGCAGUAUCCUGAGUAGGGCGGGACACGAGAAAUCCUGUCUGAAGCUGGGUCGACCACGAUCCAACCCUAAAUACUAAUACCAGAUCGAUAGUGCACAAGUACCGUGAGGGAAAGGUGAAAAGAACUGAGGUGAUCAGAGUGAAAUAGAACCUGAAACCAUUUGCUUACAAUCAUUCAGAGCCCUAUGUAGCAAUACAGGGUGAUGGACUGCCUUUUGCAUAAUGAGCCUGCGAGUUGUGGUGUCUGGCAAGGUUAAGCAAACGCGAAGCCGUAGCGAAAGCGAGUCUGAAUAGGGCGCUUAGUCAGAUGCUGCAGACCCGAAACGAAGUGAUCUAUCCAUGAGCAAGUUGAAGCUAGUGUAAGAACUAGUGGAGGACUGAACCCAUAGGCGUUGAAAAGCCCCGGGAUGACUUGUGGAUAGGGGUGAAAGGCCAAUCAAACUUCGUGAUAGCUGGUUCUCUCCGAAAUAUAUUUAGGUAUAGCGUUGUGUCGUAAUAUAAGGGGGUAGAGCACUGAAUGGGCUAGGGCAUACACCAAUGUACCAAACCCUAUCAAACUCCGAAUACCUUAUAUGUAAUCACAGCAGUCAGGCGGCGAGUGAUAAAAUCCGUCGUCAAGAGGGAAACAACCCAGACUACCAGCUAAGGUCCCUAAAUCUUACUUAAGUGGAAAACGAUGUGAAGUUACUUAAACAACCAGGAGGUUGGCUUAGAAGCAGCCAUCCUUUAAAGAAAGCGUAAUAGCUCACUGGUCUAGUGAUUUUGCGCGGAAAAUAUAACGGGGCUAAAGUAAGUACCGAAGCUGUAGACUUGCGCACAACUUAGAUUAUUUAAGUUUAGAAUAUGAGAAACUAAGUUAUAUGUUUAGUUAUAUUUUUACUGAUUUUUAUAGAGUAAAGAUAGAAAUAAAACUUAGUAAAAUCAGUAAAAAUAUUCUUAGACUAAAGUUAAGUAGUUUAAGUUGUGUGCAAGUGGUAGGAGAGCGUUCUAUUUGCGUCGAAGGUAUACCGGUAAGGAGUGCUGGAGCGAAUAGAAGUGAGCAUGCAGGCAUGAGUAGCGAUAAUUAAUGUGAGAAUCAUUAACGCCGUAAACCCAAGGUUUCCUACGCGAUGCUCGUCAUCGUAGGGUUAGUCGGGUCCUAAGUCGAGUCCGAAAGGGGUAGACGAUGGCAAAUUGGUUAAUAUUCCAAUACCAACAUUAGUGUGCGAUGGAAGGACGCUUAGGGCUAAGGGGGCUAGCGGAUGGAAGUGCUAGUCUAAGGUCGUAGGAGGUUAUACAGGCAAAUCCGUAUAACAAUACUCCGAGAACUGAAAGGCUUUUUGAAGUCUUCGGAUG